Molecule: ribosomal RNA, 253 nt
Filed under: uncultured bacterium
Lineage: Bacteria
Description: partial 16S ribosomal RNA
Rfam family: Bacterial small subunit ribosomal RNA
Source: RNAcentral
UACGUAGGGUGCGAGCGUUGUCCGGAAUUAUUGGGCGUAAAGGGCUCGUGGGCGGUUUGUCGCGUCGGGAGUGAAAACCAUGGGCUUAACUCAUGGCUUGCUUUCGAUACGGGCAGACUAGAGGUAUGCAGGGGAGAACGGAAUUCCUGGUGUAGCGGUGAAAUGCGCAGAUAUCAGGAGGAACACCGGUGGCGAAGGCGGUUCUCUGGGCAUGAUCUGACGCUGAGGAGCGAAAGUGUGGGGAGCGAACAGG